RNAcentral lists this ribosomal RNA (165 nucleotides) under uncultured bacterium. Its description in RNAcentral is "partial 16S rRNA". It matches the Rfam family "Bacterial small subunit ribosomal RNA", at positions 355 to 511 of the family's 1533-position model. The record is from RNAcentral.
UAGGGAAUCUUCCACAAUGGGGGCAACCCUGACCGAGCAACGCCGCGUGAGUGAAGAAGGUUUUCGGAUCGUAAAGCUCUGUUGUAAGAGAAGAACGUGUGUGAGAGUGGAAAGUUCACACAGUGACGGUAACUUACCAGAAAGGGACGGCUAACUACGUGCCAA